This is a long non-coding RNA of Manis pentadactyla (Chinese pangolin), 1578 nucleotides long. RefSeq lists it as uncharacterized. The record is from RefSeq and is a predicted model, not a curated record. The transcript is spliced from 3 exons. Lineage: Eukaryota; Metazoa; Chordata; Mammalia; Pholidota; Manidae.
CUCUCCCUACCUCAAAGCCAUCAGGGGAUCCUGUGGAUUCUACCUUCAAAACAUCCUGAGGCCAUCCGUGUCUCCACCUCUCCACUACUACUCAUCUAAUACAAGUCCCCUGCAUCUCCCUCUGCUCCCAGAGGCCCCACCAAAGAAUGCAGCCUUGAGAGAGUGAAGUGAUGUGGACAGCACCUGGAUAUUAUACACGAGUGAACCUAGUUACAGCCUCUAUAUGAACUUUAAGAUUCUGGCAGGAGAUUCAGGAGAUCAACUGUCUUGCAGCCACUCAAGACAAGCCUCAUCACCACAAGCUGAUGGGAGCUAAGGAACCGAAGAGGUGGAUGAACAUCCACGCAGCUUGGAAGUAGACCUCUUUCACCAAGAUCACCCAGUGCUUUACGUGCUUUAGGCUGGGGACUCUAAGACUUAUGGAUUCUAAGACUUUAUGGAUCAAUAAAGGAUUAAAGAAAAUUUAGAGGACUGAAAGUAUUGUCAACAUUAAAUUGUUUUAAUUAAACUUUUAACUUAAGAUGUGUAGAUUCACAUGCAAUUAUAAGAAAUAAUACAGAGAGAUUCUAUGUAUCUUCUAUCCAGUUUUCUUCAACGAUCACACCUUGAAAACAACUACUUUUUAUAUUAAAUCUGUGAUCCAUUUUGAGUUAAUUUUUUAAUUAAGUAUGAGGUUUAGAUCAAGGUUCAUUUUUUUCCCUAUGGAUGUCAAAUUGCUCCAGCAUCAUUUGUGAAAACUCUACCCUUCCUCCAUUGAAUUAUGUUUACACUUCUAUAAAAAAAAGCAGUUAAGAGUAGGUGUGUGAGUAUCAUUUAGGGUCCCUUAGUCUGUCCCAUUUAUCUUUGUCUAUCCCUCCAUCAGUAGCACACUCUUUUGAUUAUUGUAGCAAUAUAUUAAGCAUUAAUAUCAGGUAAAGUGACUCUUCCCACUAUAUUCUUUUUCAAGAUUAUUUUAGCUAUUUUAGGAUGUGUGUCUUUCCAUAUAAAUUUUAGAAUAAAUUUGUCUAUAUCUACAAAAAUUUGCUGUGAUUUUUAUAGACAUUACAUUAAAUCGAUAGAUCAAUUUAGGGAGAAUUGACAUCUUUACCAUGUUGAGUCUUACAGCUGCUGAUAUCCUAUGUUUCUCCAUUUAGUUAGGUCUUUUUUUAUUUCCUUAAGCAACAUUUUGUAAUUUUCAACAUACAGAUCCUUUCAAUGCUUUGUUUGUUAAGUUUUUAUUAAAAUGUCUCAUUUUCUAUUAAAAUGUCUCAUUUCCUUUGGAGGAAUUAUAAAUGGUAUUAUGUUUUUAAUAUCAGUUUUCCUGUGUUCAUUGUUAGUAUAUAGAAACAUUUUUGCUUGUUGGUCUUGUAUCCUGUGACUAUGCUGGAUUCACUUAUUCGAGUUCCUUGAGUAUUUCUAUAUCAUUGUUUGUCAUUUUCUCAAGUCAUUUAAUUGUAAACAAGAACAGUUUUACUUCUUUUCCAAUUUAAAUGUCUUUUAUUUCUUUUUCUUGCUUUACUGCUCUGGCUAGAACUUCCAUUAUUAUGUGGAAUAAGAGGGAUGAGAGCCCUGAAUGCUUUGUUCCUGGUCUUCAGAGAA